UAUGCUCGGCCGGUAUGAGGCCUGGCUUUCGCGGCCGGCUGAAGUAUUUUUUUCACCCAUGUCUUUUGCGCACUUGUUGUUUCCUGGGCGGGUUCGCCCGCCACCAGGACCAAACCAUAAACCUUUUUUUCUUAUGCAGUUUCCAUCAGCGUCAGUAAAAACAAUGUAAUUAUUACAACUUUCAACAACGGAUCUCUUGGUUCUGGCAUCGAUGAAGAACGCAGCGAAAUGCGAUACGUAGUGUGAAUUGCAGAAUUCAGUGAAUCAUCGAAUCUUUGAACGCACAUUGCGCCCUUUGGUAUUCCAAAGGGCAUGCCUGUUCGAGCGUCAUUUGUACCUUCAAGCUUUGCUUGGUGUUGGGCGUUUUUUUGUCUCCCUCUUUCUGGGAGACUCGCCUUAAAACGAUUGGCAGCCGGCCUACUGGUUUCGGAGCGCAGCACAUUUUUUGCGCUUUGUAUCAGGAGAAAAGGACGGUACUCCAUCAAGACUCUACAUUUUUCACUUUUGACCUCGGAUCAGGUAGGGAUACCCGCUGAACUUAAGCAUAUCAAUAAGCCGGAGGAA
This 564-nucleotide ribosomal RNA is filed under the name Bipolaris oryzae. Its description in RNAcentral is "eukaryotic LSU rRNA". The stretch from base 177 to 330 matches the Rfam family "5.8S ribosomal RNA". The record is from RNAcentral. Lineage: Eukaryota; Fungi; Ascomycota; Dothideomycetes; Pleosporales; Pleosporaceae.